GCCUUUGUGGUGUAGUGGUCGGCGCACUUGACCCGUAUUCGAUAAGUCCGUGGUUCGAGUCCCGGAGAGGGCA
This 73-nucleotide transfer RNA is filed under the name Stegodyphus mimosarum. It matches the Rfam family "tRNA". Rfam says of the family: Transfer RNA (tRNA) molecules are approximately 80 nucleotides in length. Their secondary structure includes four short double-helical elements and three loops (D, anti-codon, and T loops). Further hydrogen bonds mediate the characteristic L-shaped molecular structure. tRNAs have two regions of fundamental functional importance: the anti-codon, which is responsible for specific mRNA codon recognition, and the 3' end, to which the tRNAs corresponding amino acid is attached (by aminoacyl-tRNA synthetases). tRNAs cope with the degeneracy of the genetic code in two manners: having more than one tRNA (with a specific anti-codon) for a particular amino acid; and 'wobble' base-pairing, i.e. permitting non-standard base-pairing at the 3rd anti-codon position. Lineage: Eukaryota; Metazoa; Arthropoda; Arachnida; Araneae; Eresidae. The record is from Rfam by way of RNAcentral.